GAUGAACGCUGGCGGCGUGCCUAAUACAUGCAAGUCGAGCGAACGGACGAGAAGCUUGCUUUUCUGAUGUUAGCGGCGGACGGGUGAGUAACACGUGGAUAACCUACCUAUAAGACUGGGAUAACUUCGGGAAACCGGAGCUAAUACCGGAUAAUAUUUUGAACCGCAUGGUUCAAAAGUGAAAGACGGUCUUGCUGUCACUUAUAGAUGGAUCCGCGCUGCAUUAGCUAGUUGGUAAGGUAACGGCUUACCAAGGCAACGAUGCAUAGCCGACCUGAGAGGGUAAUCGGCCACACUGGAACUGAGACACGGUCCAGACUCCUACGGGAGGCAGCAGUAGGGAAUCUUCCGCAAAGGGCGAAAGCCUGACGGAGCAACGCCGCGUGAGUGAUGAAGGUCUUCGGAUCGUAAAACUCUGUUAUUAGGGAAGAACAUAUGUGUAAGUAACUGUGCACAUCUUGACGGUACCUAAUCAGAAAGCCACGGCUAACUACGUG
RNAcentral lists this ribosomal RNA (497 nucleotides) under uncultured bacterium. RNAcentral's name for it is "partial 16S ribosomal RNA". It matches the Rfam family "Bacterial small subunit ribosomal RNA", at positions 28 to 507 of the family's 1533-position model. The record is from RNAcentral.